UGUGAAAAAUUUAUAAGUCUGAUAUUUCACAAUUCAACAGAUAUAUGAAGUCAUAAAUUCAAUAUAUACACAUGAUUAUACACAAUAAUCAAACAUCAAGACAUAUUCAAACCGUAAACCAGCCAAGAAGAACACCCAGGGUGUAAAUCAAAAAUCAAGACAUUUUCAA
Haliotis rubra (blacklip abalone) is the source of this 169-nucleotide long non-coding RNA. RefSeq lists it as uncharacterized. NCBI's taxonomy places the organism in Eukaryota, Metazoa, Mollusca, Gastropoda, Lepetellida, Haliotidae. The transcript is spliced from 3 exons. The record is from RefSeq and is a predicted model, not a curated record.